Molecule: transfer RNA, 76 nt
Filed under: Actinomycetota bacterium
Lineage: Bacteria; Bacillati; Actinomycetota
Description: Actinobacteria bacterium tRNA-Thr
Rfam family: tRNA
About the family: Transfer RNA (tRNA) molecules are approximately 80 nucleotides in length. Their secondary structure includes four short double-helical elements and three loops (D, anti-codon, and T loops).
Source: RNAcentral
GCUCCCUUAGCUCAGUCGGCAGAGCGUCUCCAUGGUAAGGAGAAGGUCGACAGUUCGAUUCUGACAGGGAGCUCCA